GGGGCUGAUUCUGGAUUCGACGGGAUUUGCGAAGCCCUAGGAGCAUGCCGAGGGGCGGUUGGCCUCGUAAAAAGCCGCAAAAAAAUAGUCGCAAACGACGAAAACUACGCUUUAGCAGCUUAAUACCCUGCUCAGAGCCCUCUCUCCCUAGCCUCCGCUCUUAGGACGGGGAUCAAGAGAGGUCAAACCUAAAAGAGAUCGCGUGGAUGCCUUGCCUGGGGCUGAAGCGUUAAACCCAAUCAGGAUAGUUUGUUAGUGGCGUGUCCAUCCGCAGCUGACCGGCGAAUGUAAAGAUUGGACUAAGCAUGUAGUGCCGACGGUGUAGUAAUUUCGGACGGGGGUUCAAAUCCCCCCAGCUCCACC
RNAcentral lists this transfer-messenger RNA (363 nucleotides) under Serratia odorifera DSM 4582. It matches the Rfam family "transfer-messenger RNA". From Rfam's summary of the family: Bacterial tmRNA, also known as 10Sa RNA or SsrA, is named for its dual tRNA and mRNA-like properties. Its role is to liberate the mRNA from a stalled ribosome. To accomplish this part of the tmRNA is used as a reading frame that ends in a translation stop signal. The record is from RNAcentral. Lineage: Bacteria; Pseudomonadati; Pseudomonadota; Gammaproteobacteria; Enterobacterales; Yersiniaceae.